RNAcentral lists this ribosomal RNA (383 nucleotides) under Sinotaia quadrata histrica. Its description in RNAcentral is "partial 16S rRNA". It matches the Rfam family "Bacterial large subunit ribosomal RNA", at positions 1965 to 2562 of the family's 2925-position model. The record is from RNAcentral. Lineage: Eukaryota; Metazoa; Mollusca; Gastropoda; Architaenioglossa; Viviparidae.
UCAAUUGUCUUAUAAUUGAAGACUGGAAUGAAUGGUUGAACGAAAUUAAAACUGUUUCAUUUGUAUUAAUUAGAAAUUGGUUUUUAAAUGAAGAGAUUUAAAUUUAAUUAAUAGACAAGAAGACCCUAUUGAGCUUAAAAUAACUUUAAAAUUAAAAAUUUAUUAUUAGAGAUUUAAGUUUUAAAUGUUUUUUAGUUGGGGCGACUAAGGAACAAGAGAAGCUUCCUUUAUUUGUUAAAUUGAUGAAUUUUGAUCCAGUAAUUGAGCUGAUUAAUGGAGAUAGUUACCAUAGGGAUAACAGCAUAAUCUUCUUGGAGAGUUCUUAUCAAAAAGGGGGGUUGUGACCUCGAUGUUGGAUUAAAAUAUCCUAAGGGUGUAGAGGC